CAGUAGCCACGGGAAUACGGAGGGGGCUAGCGUUGUUCGGAUUCACUGGGCGUAAAGCGUGCGUAGGCGGCUUCUUAAGUCGGAUGUGAAAUCCCUGAGCUUAACUUAGGAAUUGCAUUCGAUACUGGGAAGCUAGAGUAUGGGAGAGGAUGGUAGAAUUCCAGGUGUAGCGGUGAAAUGCGUAGAGAUCUGGAGGAAUACCGAUGGCGAAGGCAGCCAUCUGGCCUAAUACUGACGCUGAGGUACGAAAGCAUGGGGAGCAAACAGGAUUAGAUACCCCAGUAGUCCCUGUCUCUUAUAC
Molecule: ribosomal RNA, 301 nt
Filed under: uncultured bacterium
Lineage: Bacteria
Description: partial 16S ribosomal RNA
Rfam family: Bacterial small subunit ribosomal RNA
Source: RNAcentral